GACGAACGCUGGCGGCGUGCCUAAUACAUGCAAGUAGAACGCACAGUUUAUACCGUAGCUUGCUACACCAUAAACUGUGAGUUGCGAACGGGUGAGUAACGCGUAGGUAACCUGCCUGGUAGCGGGGGAUAACUAUUGGAAACGAUAGCUAAUACCGCAUAAUAUUGAUUAUUGCAUGAUAAUUGAUUGAAAGAUGCUAUUGCAUCACUACCAGAUGGACCUGCGUUGUAUUAGCUAGUAGGUGAGGUAACGGCUCACCUAGGCGACGAUACAUAGCCGACCUGAGAGGGUGAUCGGCCACACUGGGACUGAGACACGGCCCAGACUCCUACGGGAGGCAGCAGUAGGGAAUCUUCGGCAAUGGACGAAAGUCUGACCGAGCAACGCCGCGUGAGUGAAGAAGGUUUUCGGAUCGUAAAGCUCUGUUGUAAGAGAAGAACAGGUGUGAGAGUGGAAAGUUCACACUGUGACGGUAUCUUACCAGAAAGGGACGGCUAACUACGUG
RNAcentral lists this ribosomal RNA (505 nucleotides) under uncultured bacterium. Its description in RNAcentral is "partial 16S ribosomal RNA". It matches the Rfam family "Bacterial small subunit ribosomal RNA", at positions 28 to 507 of the family's 1533-position model. The record is from RNAcentral.